RNAcentral lists this ribosomal RNA (497 nucleotides) under uncultured bacterium. RNAcentral describes it as "partial 16S ribosomal RNA". It matches the Rfam family "Bacterial small subunit ribosomal RNA", at positions 28 to 507 of the family's 1533-position model. The record is from RNAcentral.
GAUGAACGCUGGCGGCGUGCCUAAUACAUGCAAGUCGAGCGAACAGACGAUGAGCUUUCUCCUCUGACGUUAGCGGCGGACGGGUGAGUAACACGUGGAUAACCUACCUAUAAGACUUGGAUAACUUCGUGAAACCGGAUCUAAUACCGGAUAAUAUAUUUAACCGCAUGGUUCAAUAGUUAAAGACGGUUUUGCUGUCACUUAUAGAUGGAUCCGCCCCGCAUUAGCUAGUUGGUAAGGUAACGGCUUACCAAGGCGACGAUGCGUAGCCGACCUGAGAGGGUGAUCGGCCACACUGGAACUGAGACACGGUCCAGACUCCUACGGGAGGCAGCAGUAGGGAAUCUUCCGCAAUGGGCGAAAGCCUGACGGAGCAACGCCGCGUGAGUGAUGAAGGUCUUCGGAUCGUAAAACUCUGUUAUUAGGGAAGAACAAAUGUGUAAGUAACUAUGCACGUCUUGACGGUACCUAAUCAGAAGGCCACGGCUAACUACGUG